Molecule: long non-coding RNA, 1232 nt
Organism: Bos taurus (domestic cattle)
Lineage: Eukaryota; Metazoa; Chordata; Mammalia; Artiodactyla; Bovidae
Source: Ensembl
CUGAAUUAGUUUUAUUCUCCUUCCCACCCCAAAGAAAGAAGUCAGACAACAAACAUUUAAAACAUUUUAUUCACUAGAUUUGUCACCGGCAUAUUCCAGUCAUGCUUUUACACACUAAGGUGUAUUUAAUUUGUAAUGAAUGAUGAGUGUCACUGAUGUCUAAGAGGAAGGUCAAGUACCAAUAUAUUCUUUAAAGGCCUAAGACUGUGCUUUGCUUACCAAUUUUCUGGCUGAAUUCUUUCUUACCGCUUACUCUCUUUGUGCCUAUUACUAUGUUGUGCCUGAUAGAAUUAGCUCCUUUCUUCAGUCUUUCCACCUUCCCCCAAGGCAUAACAACAAUUUAGCCUCUUAGUUUUCAGUUCCCUGCUGUACAGCGUUGGCGUGGUGUAAUAAGACUCCACUUAAAAAAAAAAGUAAAAUGACUUGCUUCUGUGGGAUCUGUAGGAGUGUUAAAACAAACAAACAAAAAAUAAAUAAAGUCGUACCCUGUAGGUCCUUCUCCACCUUUCGGAUACCGGGUCAGUGAGACGGAAAUUGAAAAUUCGUAACGCUAACCAGCCGUUUAGUGCUUAUCAGUUCCCAACAUGACAAGUAAAGGUUCGAAGACUGCUUCCCAGUAGCGUGUGUUCGGCUUGGCAGCCGUUGAAAAGGGUGUUAAUACCCAUUUUUACGCAAACACAACUUAAUACUUAAAAGUUGCGGCUUCAUGCCAUUGCCUUUUAUUGGUCACCUUCACAGAAUCAAGAGCUCUCGCGGGGAUUGCUACAGAAUUCAGGGUAGAGCUGAAAGAGGUGGGUGCGGCGCUUUCGACCUCUUCCACCCGACCCACCCUUAGCUCCCUUCUUCCCCGUUCCUGGUCUGAGAGCGCCGCCCGCACUGUGGGACCCGGCAUGGGACAGCCCUCCCGGCGCCCAGUCCCCUCACAAGCCCUGGUCCGGUCUCAAACGAGGUCGCGGUCCCUCGGCUGCCCUCCACCUCGACAGGUCGAGCUCUUUCGCCCAGGCUAACUCAGGAUUCGGCGGGUAGGCGGGCGCAGGGCCACUCGCUGUAGUGGAGAAGGUCAGGCUCACCUUGAGGCACUCGAGCCGGACGGCAGCCAGCACCGUCCCAGACUGCCUGGCGGAGUCUCCGAGGUCACCAGAGGACUCCCAGGUCACCAGCCCCAGCAUCCGCAGCCGCAGGUGGCGGGGCAGUUGGAACCUGCCCUACCCGGAAGCACGCCGACUUCCGGC